RNAcentral lists this ribosomal RNA (485 nucleotides) under uncultured bacterium. RNAcentral describes it as "partial 16S ribosomal RNA". It matches the Rfam family "Bacterial small subunit ribosomal RNA", at positions 29 to 523 of the family's 1533-position model. The record is from RNAcentral.
AGUGAACGCUGGCGGCGUGCUUAACACAUGCAAGUCGAACGAGAACGGAUUAUAGCUUGCUAUAAUUGUCAGCUAAGUGGCGCACGGGUGAGUAAUAUAUAGAUAACCUGCCCUCUAGAAAGGAAUAACAGUUGGAAACGACUGCUAAUGCCCUAUAUGCCUUUAAUACAUAAGUAUGCAAGGGAAACGCUUUAGUGCUAGAGGAUGGGUCUGUAUGGUAUCAGCUUGUUGGUGAGGUAAUGGCUCACCAAGGCUAUGACGCCUAACUGGUUUGAGAGGAUGAUCAGUCACACUGGAACUGAGAAACGGUCCAGACUCCUACAGGAGGCAGCAGUGGGGAAUAUUGCACAAUGGACGAAAGUCUGAUGCAGCAACGCCGCGUGGAGGAUGACACAUUUCGGUGCGUAAACUCCUUUUAUAUAGGAAGAUAAUGACGGUACUAUAUGAAUAAGCACCGGCUAACUCCGUGCCAGCAGCCGCCGCAG